This 246-nucleotide ribosomal RNA is filed under the name uncultured bacterium. Its description in RNAcentral is "partial 16S ribosomal RNA". It matches the Rfam family "Bacterial small subunit ribosomal RNA", at positions 524 to 771 of the family's 1533-position model. The record is from RNAcentral.
UACGAAGGGGGCUAGCGUUGCUCGGAAUUACUGGGCGUAAAGCGCACGUAGGCGGCUUUCUAAGUCGGGGGUGAAAUCCUGGAGCUCAACUCCAGAACUGCCUUCGAUACUGGAGCUUGAGUCCGGGAGAGGUGAGUGGAACUGCGAGUGUAGAGGUGAAAUUCGUAGAUAUUCGCAAGAACACCAGUGGCGAAGGCGGCUCACUGGCCCGGUACUGACGCUGAGGUGCGAAAGCGUGGGGAGCAA